AAAUCUACCAAGAAUGCAUUUGUGAAAAGAAAUGUUUGCUUUAUUAAGUCAUCGAAAAAAGACCUGGCAACUUUUGUUGAACAAAGACCCAUAAAGGGUCGAAAGAUUGCCAAGUUAUUUUUUGAUGACUCAAUAAAAUAACCAUUUGUUUUGACAAAUGCACUCAUGGAAAAUUU
Molecule: non-coding RNA, 176 nt
Organism: Pelobates cultripes (western spadefoot toad)
Lineage: Eukaryota; Metazoa; Chordata; Amphibia; Anura; Pelobatidae
Source: the annotation of a GenBank genome assembly